UGACUCUCGGCAACGGAUAUCUCGGCUCUUGCAUCGAUGAAGAACGUAGCGAAAUGCGAUACUUGGUGUGAAUUGCAGAAUCCCGCGAACCAUCGAGUGUUUGAACGCAAGUUGCGCCCGAAGCCAUUAGGCUGAGGGCACGCCUGCCUGGGUGUCGCA
RNAcentral lists this ribosomal RNA (159 nucleotides) under Dermatophyllum secundiflorum. RNAcentral's name for it is "5.8S ribosomal RNA". It matches the Rfam family "5.8S ribosomal RNA". Rfam says of the family: 5.8S ribosomal RNA (5.8S rRNA) is a component of the large subunit of the eukaryotic ribosome. Lineage: Eukaryota; Viridiplantae; Streptophyta; Magnoliopsida; Fabales; Fabaceae. The record is from RNAcentral.